This 253-nucleotide ribosomal RNA is filed under the name uncultured bacterium. Its description in RNAcentral is "partial 16S ribosomal RNA". It matches the Rfam family "Bacterial small subunit ribosomal RNA", at positions 524 to 776 of the family's 1533-position model. The record is from RNAcentral.
GACAGAGGUGGCAAGCGUUGUUCGGAUUCAUUGGGUGUAAAGGGUCCGUAGGUGGCCCGUUAAGUCCGGCGUGAAAUCCCAGAGCUCAACUCUGGAACUGCGUUGGAAACUAUCGGGCUUGAGUGCCGGAGAGGUUAGGGGAAUUCCAGGUGUAAGGGUGAAAUCUGUAGAUAUCUGGAGGAACACCAGUGGCGAAGGCGCCUAACUGGCCGGUUACUGACACUGAGGGACGAAAGCAAGGGGAGCAAACGGG